UUGGAGGGCAAGUCUGGUGCCAGCAGCCGCGGUAAUUCCAGCUCCAAUAGCGUAUAUUAAAGUUGUUGCAGUUAAAAAGCUCGUAGUUGAAUUUCGGGGUUUAUCCGUUGGUCGGGCUUUUGGGUCUGUACUGGCGUGAUGAAUUCCUACCUUCUGAAUAACCAGCAUGUCAUUAAUUUGGUGCGCCGGGGAAGCAGGACUGUUACCUUGAAAAAAUUAGAGUGCUUAAAGCAGGCUAUUGCCUGAAUACAUUAGCAUGGAAUAAUGAAAUAGGACGGCAUGGUUCUAUUUUGUUGGUUUCUAGGAUCACCGUAAUGAUUAAUAGGGAUAGUUGGGGGCAUUAGUAUUCAAUUGUCAGAGGUGAAAUUCUUGGAUUUAUUGAAGACUAACUUCUGCGAAAGCAUUUGCCAAAGAUGUUUUCAUUAAUCAAGAACGAAAGUUAGGGGAUCGAAGACGAUCAGAUACCGUCGUAGUCUUAACCAUAAACUAUGCCGACUAGGGAUCGGACGAUGUUAAUUUUUUAAUGACUCGUUCGGCGCCUUACGGGAAAC
RNAcentral lists this ribosomal RNA (551 nucleotides) under uncultured Glomeromycotina. RNAcentral's name for it is "SSU rRNA". It matches the Rfam family "Eukaryotic small subunit ribosomal RNA", at positions 548 to 1098 of the family's 1831-position model. Lineage: Eukaryota; Fungi; Glomeromycota. The record is from RNAcentral.